Gadus macrocephalus (Pacific cod) is the source of this 1665-nucleotide long non-coding RNA. RefSeq lists it as uncharacterized. The transcript is spliced from 2 exons. The record is from RefSeq and is a predicted model, not a curated record. Lineage: Eukaryota; Metazoa; Chordata; Actinopteri; Gadiformes; Gadidae.
GAUGCAUGUCGGGUGGUUAGUGACGUCUAGUCGGUUGGUUAGUGACGUCUAGUCAGGUGGUUAGUGACGUCUAGUCGGGGUGGUUAGUGAAUUCUUAUUGAGGUGGUUAUGACGUCGAGUCGGGUUGGUUAGUGACGUCUAAUUGGGGUGGUUAUGACGUCGAGUCGGGUUGGUUAGCGACGUCUAAUUGGGGUGGUUAUGACGUCGAGUCGGGUUGGUUAGCGACGUCUAAUUGGGGUGGUUAUGACGUCGAGUCGGGUUGGUUAGCGACGUCUAAUUGGGGUGGUUAUGACGUCGAGUCGGGUUGGUUAGUGACGUCUAUCGGGCUGGUUGGUGACGUCUAGUCGGGUUGGUUAGCGACGUCUAAUUGGGGUGGUUAUGACGUCGAGGGACCAGAUGAGGCUCCUCUGUAGCUGCCUUCCAUGACGAGGUUCAAUAAGUCAGUGAAAUUGGACUUUAGUAAAAUAAAUCAACGUUAUUUAACAGUUAGAACUAAGUAUCUGCCAAGACAUGAAGCAGCAUGUCUUGGCAGAGCAAGUUGUCGAUACAUAAUUUUUAUUUCAAAGCUAACGAGAGCAUUGUAUGGCCACUAGCUUGAUAACCGUAUGGACACUAUCUUAAAGGUGACAUAGCACUAGCACUAUCUUAAAGGUAGCUAGUAUGGCUACAAGCUACACCCUCAAAUGGGCACUAGUCAUAUAAUGGUAUGGACACUAGCUAGUGUGCUAGCAAGCACACUCUACAGUGACACUAGCUAGAGCACGAUAUGGACACUAGCUAGUGUGCUAGCUAGAAUGCUGUAUGGUCAUACUCGCUAGAGAAUGUUAUGGGUGCUAGCUUGUGUGGAUUAUUAACACUAGCCACAGUGUGAUGUGUACAUUGGCUAAGGUUUUAGCUAGAUCACAAUGUGGACACUAGCCACAGCAUGGUAUGGACCCCAUGGAUAAAACACUAGCUAGACUGCUAGCAUGUUGUAUGGAAAGUAGCUACAGCACGCUUUAGACACUAGCCAGCCUGCUAACUACAGCAUGGUAUGGGCACACGCUAGUAUCAUAUGGACAGUGGCUAGCAUGCUAGCUAGAAUGCUGUACGGACACUAGCUACUGGGUAGGAUGACACUAAGUAGCCAGCUAGCUACAGCGUGCUAUGAGGCUAGCUAGCCAGGGCGUGUAUCUGCUCCGGGUGGAGUGUUCACUGCAGAGAGAAUCAUGAGUGACGAAGAGGUCAAGGUUAUUUUUAUCUUUCUUAAAUAUAUGUACAAAUAUAUGCUGUAAAUAUAUAAAUAUAUAUAUGUAAAGCUGUAAUGGGAGAGUGCUGCCGUCAGUACGGGGGAACGACGGCAGUGAGGGAUGCUGGGUGAACCAGGCAAGGGGCUGAGGAUACAUUAGUAUUAUUCUAACUUUUGUAACAGGUUGUGAGACGAUGUGCUCUGGAACAUUCUUCUGUUUGUAAAGAAAACCUUUGAUGCCAACAAUGGAUCAUGUGACCAGGCGGAGGGCAGUUGGCCCCGCCCACAGACAUUCCUGUUGUUUACAUGUUUGAGCUCCUACACAAAAACACUUUUUACAUUUUUACUGUCCCUGAAACCCUGUAUAAAUACAUUGAAACUGUCUUCAUUUGAAGAGUUAACUGCAAAGUGAAUUAAAUAAUAAAAAGAAAAAGUCA